UUGUGAGAUUGUCCAACAUCCAUCAAAUGAAUCGCCAAACACACUGAAAUCAUCCAUAAAUACCUCAAUAAUUUUUUCCACAAAAUCUGAAAAGAUACUUACCAUACACCUUUGAAAUGUGCGGAGCAUUGCAUAAACCAAAGGCAUGCGACGAUAAGCAAAAGUCCCAAAGGGGCAUGUGAAAGUUGUCUUUUCUUGGUCAUCCGGCGCUAUGACAAUCUGAUUAUAUCCAGAAUAACCAUCAAGGAACAAUAAAAAGAAUGACGGCUAACCUUUCAAGCAUUUGAUCAAUGAACGGCAAAGGGAAGUGGUCUUCCUUGUGGUGGCGUUGAGCUUCCUAUA
Molecule: long non-coding RNA, 342 nt
Filed under: Malus domestica (apple)
Lineage: Eukaryota; Viridiplantae; Streptophyta; Magnoliopsida; Rosales; Rosaceae
Description: long non-coding RNA (MDOM_LNC019715)
Source: RNAcentral